AUUGAACGCUGGCGGCAUGCCUUACACAUGCAAGUCGAACGGUAACAGCACUUCGGUGGCUGACGAGUGGCGAACGGGUGAGUAAUACAUCGGAACGUGCCCGAGAGUGGGGGAUAACGCAGCGAAAGCUGUGCUAAUACCGCAUACGAUCUACGGAUGAAAGCAGGGGACCGCAAGGCCUUGCGCUCAUGGAGCGGCCGAUGGCAGAUUAGGUAGUUGGUGGGAUAAAAGCUUACCAAGCCGACGAUCUGUAGCUGGUCUGAGAGGACGACCAGCCACACUGGGACUGAGACACGGCCCAGACUCCUACGGGAGGCAGCAGUGGGGAAUUUUGGACAAUGGGCGAAAGCCUGAUCCAGCCAUGCCGCGUGCAGGAUGAAGGCCUCGGUUGUAACUGCUUUGUACGGUAACGAAAGGUACGUUUCUAAUAAGAAGGACUCAUGACGGUACCGUAAGAAUAAGACACCGGCUAACUAACGUGCCAGCACG
Molecule: ribosomal RNA, 489 nt
Filed under: uncultured bacterium
Lineage: Bacteria
Description: bacterial SSU rRNA
Rfam family: Bacterial small subunit ribosomal RNA
Source: RNAcentral